This 1835-nucleotide ribosomal RNA is filed under the name Kamakonocoris carinata. Its description in RNAcentral is "SSU rRNA". It matches the Rfam family "Eukaryotic small subunit ribosomal RNA". The record is from RNAcentral. Lineage: Eukaryota; Metazoa; Arthropoda; Insecta; Hemiptera; Schizopteridae.
GUAGUCAUAUGCUUGUCUCAAAGCUUAAGCCAUGCAAGUUUAAGUACAAACAAAAUUAAAGUAAAACCGCAAAAUGCUCAUUAAAUUAGUUAUAGUUCACUAGAGUACCAAGAUUUCAUAUGGACAACUGUGGUAAUUCUAGAGCUAAUACAUGCAAUUAAGUCUUGUCCAUUAAUGGAAAAGACGCUUUUAUUAGAUCAAAACUAAUCGGUGAGUCUACGGACUGUCCGUUUAUCUUUUGAUGACUCUGAAUAACACCGCAAAUCGCUCAUAGUCGAAGUACUAGUGACAUAUCUUUCAAAUGCCUGACUUAUCAACUGUCGAUGGUAGACUAUACGUCUACCAUGGUUGUAACGGGUAACGGGGAAUCAGGGUUCGAUUCCGGAGAGGGAGCCUGAGAAACUGCUACCACAUCCAAGGAAGGACUCCCGGCACGGGGAGGUAGUGACAAAAAAUAACGAUACGGGACUCAUCCGAGGCCCCGUAAUCGGAAUGAGUACACUUUAAACUCUUUAACAAAAGCCAAUCGGAGGGCAAGUCUAGUGCCAGCAGCCGCGGUAAUUCUAGCUCCGAUAGCGUAUAUUAAAGUUGUUGCGGUUAAAAAGCUCGUAGUUGGUUCUGUGUGCCACGCUGUUGGUUCACCGCAUGUCGGUGUAACUGACAUGUCGUGGGACGUCCUGUCGGUGGUGGUUAAAGCCCUAUAGCUUAGAAGAGGCUUGUCCUUAACUUUGCUUCAGGUGACUUUAAUUACCGAUUAAAUCCUGCCGCGGUGCUCUUUACUGAGUGUCGAGGUGGGCCGACACGUUUACUUUGAACAAAUUAGAGUGCUCAAAGCAGGCAUUGGUUGCCUGAAUAGUAGUGCAUGGAAUAAUAGAAUAAGACUUUGGUUCUAUUUUGUUGGUUUUCAGAAUCCAAGGUAAUGAUCAAUAUGGACAGGCGGGGGCAUUCGUAUUGCAACGUUAGAGGUGAAAUUCUUGGAUCGUUGCUAGACGAACUAAAGCGAAAGCAUUUGCCAAGUAUGUCUUAAUUGAUCAAGAACGAAAGUUAGAGGUGCGAAGGCGAUCAGAUACCGCCCUAGUUCUAACCAUAAACGAUGUCAGCCAGCGAUCCGUCGAUGUUUUUUUCAUGACUCGACGGGCAGCUUCUGGGAAACCAAAGCUUUUGGGUUCCGGGGGAAGUAUGGUUGCAAAACUGAAACUUAAAGGAAUUGACGGAAGGGCACCACCAGAAGUGGAGCCUGCGGCUUAAUUUGACUCAACACGGGAAACCUCACUAGGUCCAGACAUUGGAAGGAUUGACAGAUUGAUAGCUCUUUCUUGAUUCAGUGGGUAGUGGUGCGUUGGUGGAUCGAUUUGUCUGGUUAAUUCCGUGAACGAACGAGACUCUUUCCUACUAACUAGGCGUUUGGUAUUUUUGCUACCAGCGCAUUUUUCUUCUUAGAGGGACGGGCGGCUUCCAGCCGCACGAAAUUGAGCGAGAACAGGUCUGUGAUGCCCUUAGAUGUUCUGGGCCGCACGCGCGCUACACUGAAGGAAUCAGCGUGUGCCUCCCUGUCCGAAAGGACCGGGUAACCCGCUGAAACUCCUUCGUGCUAGGAAUUGGGGCUUGCAAUUCUUCCCCAUAAACGAGGAAUUCCUAGUAAGUGCGAGUCAUAAGCUCGCGUUGAUUAAGUCCCUGCCCUUUGUCCACACCGCCCGUCGCUAAUACCGAUUGAAUGAUUUAGUGAGGUCUUCGGACGGAUAAUAUACAAGAUGUAUGCCAAGAGUAUGAACAAGUUAAGUAUCUGAAAGAUGACCAAACUUGAUUAUUUAGAGGAAUUAAAAGUCGUAACAAGG